GACGAACGCUGGCGGCGUGCUUAACACAUGCAAGUCGAACGGAAAGGCUCCAGCUUGCUGGAGUACUCGAGUGGCGAACGGGUGAGUAACACGUGGGUAAUCUGCCCUGCACUCUGGGAUAAGACUGGGAAACAGGGACUAAUACUGGAUAUGACCUCUUUCAAUAUGGGGUUUGGUGGAAAGUUUUUCGGUGUAGGAUGAGCACGAGGACUAUCAGCUUGUUGGUGAGGUGAUGGCGUACCAAGGCGACGACGGUUAGCCGGCCUGGGAGGGUGAUCGGCCACAUUGGGACUGAGAUACGGCCCAGAGGCCUACGGGGGGCAGCAGUGGGGAAUAUUGCACAAUGGGCGGAAGCCGUAUGCAGCGACGUCGCGUGAGGGAUGACUGCCUUCGGGUUGUAAACCUCGUUCAGCAGGGACGAAGCGUAAGUGACGGUACCUGCAGAAGAAGCACCGGCCAACUAUGUG
RNAcentral lists this ribosomal RNA (467 nucleotides) under uncultured bacterium. RNAcentral describes it as "partial 16S ribosomal RNA". It matches the Rfam family "Bacterial small subunit ribosomal RNA", at positions 28 to 507 of the family's 1533-position model. The record is from RNAcentral.